RNAcentral lists this ribosomal RNA (482 nucleotides) under uncultured bacterium. RNAcentral describes it as "bacterial SSU rRNA". It matches the Rfam family "Bacterial small subunit ribosomal RNA", at positions 30 to 506 of the family's 1533-position model. The record is from RNAcentral.
UUGAACGCUGGCGGCAUGCCUUACACAUGCAAGUCGAACGGCAGCACGGGAGCAAUCCUGGUGGCGAGUGGCGAACGGGUGAGUAAUGUAUCGGAACGUACCUUUCAGUGGGGGAUAACGUAGCGAAAGUUACGCUAAUACCGCAUAUUCUGUGAGCAGGAAAGCAGGGGAUCUUAGGACCUUGCGCUGAUUGAGCGGCCGAUAUCAGAUUAGCUAGUUGGUGAGGUAAAGGCUCACCAAGGCGACGAUCUGUAGCGGGUCUGAGAGGAUGAUCCGCCACACUGGAACUGAGACAUGGUCCAGACUCCUACGGGAGGCAGCAGUGGGGAAUUUUGGACAAUGGGCGCAAGCCUGAUCCAGCCAUGCCGCGUGAGUGAAGAAGGCCUUCGGGUUGUAAACCGCUUUUGCCAGGGAAGAAAUCCUUUGAGCUAAUACCUCGGAGGGAUGACGGUACCUGAAGAAUAAGCACCGGCUAACUACGU